AUUGAACGCUGGCGGCAGGCUUAACACAUGCAAGUCGAGCGAGCGGCGGACGGGUGAGUAAUGUCUGGGAAACUGCCUGAUGGAGGGGGAUAACUACUGGAAACGGUAGCUAAUACCGCAUACCAUCAGAUGUGCCCAGAUGGGAUUAGCUAGUAGGUGGGGUAAUGGCUCACCUAGGCGACGAUCCCUAGCUGGUCUUAGAGGAUGACCAGCCAAACGGGAACUGAGACACGGUACAGACUCCAAAGGGAGGCAGCAGAGGGGAAUAUUGCACAAUGGGCGAAAGCCUGAUGCAGACAUGCGGCGUGUGUGAAGAAGGCCUUCGGGUGGUAAAGGACUUUAAGCGAGGAGGCGUUACUCGCAGAAGAAGCACCGGCUAACUCCGUGCCAGCAGCCGCGGUAAUUC
Molecule: ribosomal RNA, 406 nt
Filed under: uncultured bacterium
Lineage: Bacteria
Description: partial 16S ribosomal RNA
Rfam family: Bacterial small subunit ribosomal RNA
Source: RNAcentral